Molecule: long non-coding RNA, 455 nt
Organism: Humulus lupulus (European hop)
Lineage: Eukaryota; Viridiplantae; Streptophyta; Magnoliopsida; Rosales; Cannabaceae
Exons: 3
Source: RefSeq, a predicted model, not a curated record
UGAAGGUCCGAGGGAAAAUUGAUGGAGCAUUCGACUCGGGUUAUUUAAUGACUGCAACUGUUAAUGGAAAGCUAUUAAGAGGAGUCUUGUUUGCACCACAGGGACUUGGAGAGGAAUGGGAAAAACGUGAAGGGCUUUUCAAAAGAGAAUCUAAAUGACCAUAUCUUGAACCAGAGAUUUCAGUUUCUCCAUAUUUGGAUCCUUAGAGAGUAUUUAGCAUAUGCUAUGGGAAUCCCAGAUGUUAAAGGAGAUUUGGAGCGCCUAAUUGAUGAUUUUGUUUUGAUGUGUUUGUUUGUGGGGAAUGACUUUCUACCUCACAUUCCCUCAUUGUAAAUAUCUGAGGUUGUCCACAGAAAAAGGGAAAGAAAGAAAGGAGUUAACUAGUAGCGUCUUCUGGAACUGAAUAAUAGACGUGGCCUAAAAUCUGUGAAAAAUAUCCCGUUUUCUUCUUCUUC